GCUAAACGCGAAGAACCUUACCUACUCUUGACAUCCAGAGAACUUUCCAGAGAUGGAUUGGUGCCUUCGGGAACUCUGAGACAGGUGCUGCAUGGCUGUCGUCAGCUCGUGUUGUGAAAUGUUGGGUUAAGUCCCGCAACGAGCGCAACCCUUAUCCUUUGUUGCCAGCGGUUCGGCCGGGAACUCAAAGGAGACUGCCAGUGAUAAACUGGAGGAAGGUGGGGAUGACGUCAAGUCAUCAUGGCCCUUACGAGUAGGGCUACACACGUGCUACAAUGGCGUAUACAAAGAGAAGCGACCUCGCGAGAGCAAGCGGACCUCAUAAAGUACGUCGUAGUCCGGAUUGGAGUCUGCAACUCGACUCCAUGAAGUCGGAAUCGCUAGUAAUCGUAGAUCAGAAUGCUACGGUGAAUACGUUCCCGGGUCUUGUACACACCG
Molecule: ribosomal RNA, 438 nt
Filed under: uncultured bacterium
Lineage: Bacteria
Description: bacterial SSU rRNA
Rfam family: Bacterial small subunit ribosomal RNA
Source: RNAcentral